GCUAAGACACCGAGCUCUGGGAGUAAGAAUGCAUUUGUUCAUUUGCUCACUUCAAGGAAAUCUGUAAUAUUCUUUUACUUGCCUAUGUGGUUUUGUUAUAUCUAAUUUGAUGUUAGUUUUUCAAAUAAUAUUGCAUAAUUCUGGAAUCCCCCCCCCUCAUAUGCUGGGUAUUGUUUUCCUGAAAGGCUUGUAAAUACAGUGGGGCAGUGGUUUAGAAGCACUGCACAUCAAAUAAAUAACAUAUACGGCACAGCAACAUUCUGAAAAGUCCGAUGGAGGCUUACUUUUGUUUCCUCAUCAAGUCAAUGGUGACACCUACACCUGUUGAAUAUCAGGCUGUUGAGCUCAAUAGUCGCAGAUAUUCUGACAGGUGACACCAGCAGCACCUUUCUAUAUAUGAUGCUCCCCAACACCACUCAUGAUUGAUUUGAUCCAUUUUAAUUUUCAAGGAGAUAAAGAUAUAUGGCCUACAUGAAAAUCAUACAUUCUCUCUCUGUCUCCCUCGAUCUAUCUCUUACUGAUGCUGUGAGGAUAAGGAGGAAAAGUUUAUGUUAUAUGGCAUCAGGUUGGAACCAGCUUGCCCUGACCCUAAUAGGGCUUUCAAGAAAAUAUGUGACUCAAUGAAGACAGGUGACUCUUUGCUGUCCCUGGAAUUUUGUCUGAGCUUUCCAACCACAAAGCUAAGGUUUCAAGCAACAACGGAGCUCCAGGUUUCUGGAUGACCUCUCCCACCCAGUUGAGGGACACUCAGUCUGUUAUCUCUUAUAUAUGAUAAUGCAGAUUACAAGGUGUGUCAUAAAGCAGCUGAGGAAGCUGCACACCUGAUUUACAGAAAAGGACCACGGCAGAGCUCUAGUAGAACUAGGUGGCCUCUUGCUACUGCCUCAUCCACACGAAGCCCUAGUUU
This 907-nucleotide long non-coding RNA is filed under the name Pogona vitticeps (central bearded dragon). RNAcentral describes it as "lncRNA (ENSPVIG00000021799.1)". The record is from RNAcentral. Lineage: Eukaryota; Metazoa; Chordata; Lepidosauria; Squamata; Agamidae.